This 497-nucleotide ribosomal RNA is filed under the name uncultured bacterium. RNAcentral describes it as "partial 16S ribosomal RNA". It matches the Rfam family "Bacterial small subunit ribosomal RNA", at positions 28 to 507 of the family's 1533-position model. The record is from RNAcentral.
GAUGAACGCUGGCGGCGUGCCUAAUACAUGCAAGUCGAGCGAACAGACGAGGAGCUUGCUCCUCUGACGUUAGCGGCGGACGGGUGAGUAACACGUGGAUAACCUACCUAUAAGACUGGGAUAACUUCGGGAAACCGGAGCUAAUACCGGAUAAUAUAUUGAACCGCAUGGUUCAAUAGUGAAAGACGGUUUUGCUGUCACUUAUAGAUGGAUCCGCGCCGCAUUAGCUAGUUGGUAAGGUAACGGCUUACCAAGGCGACGAUGCGUAGCCGACCUGAGAGGGUGAUCGGCCACACUGGAACUGAGACACGGUCCAGACUCCUACGGGAGGCAGCAGUUGGGAAUCUUCCGCAAAGGGCGAAAGCCUGACGGAGCAACGCCGCGUGAGUGAUGAAGGUCUUCGGAUCGUAAAACUCUGUUAUUAGGGAAGAACAAAUGUGUAAGUAACUAUGCACGUCUUGACGGUACCUAAUCAGAAAGCCACGGCUAACUACGUG